RNAcentral lists this ribosomal RNA (565 nucleotides) under uncultured Enterococcus sp. Its description in RNAcentral is "bacterial SSU rRNA". It matches the Rfam family "Bacterial small subunit ribosomal RNA", at positions 771 to 1336 of the family's 1533-position model. Lineage: Bacteria; Bacillati; Bacillota; Bacilli; Lactobacillales; Enterococcaceae. The record is from RNAcentral.
AACCGGAUUAGAUACCCUGGUAGUCCACGCCGUAAACGAUAAGUGCUAAGUGUUGGAGGGUUUCCGCCCUUCAGUGCUGCAGCAAACGCAUUAAGCACUCCGCCUGGGGAGUACGACCGCAAGGUUGAAACUCAAAGGAAUUGACGGGGGCCCGCACAAGCGGUGGAGCAUGUGGUUUAAUUCGAAGCAACGCGAAGAACCUUACCAGGUCUUGACAUCCUUUGACCACUCUAGAGAUAGAGCUUCCCCUUCGGGGGCAAAGUGACAGGUGGUGCAUGGUUGUCGUCAGCUCGUGUCGUGAGAUGUUGGGUUAAGUCCCGCAACGAGCGCAACCCUUAUUGUUAGUUGCCAUCAUUUAGUUGGGCACUCUAGCGAGACUGCCGGUGACAAACCGGAGGAAGGUGGGGAUGACGUCAAAUCAUCAUGCCCCUUAUGACCUGGGCUACACACGUGCUACAAUGGGAAGUACAACGAGUUGCGAAGUCGCGAGGCUAAGCUAAUCUCUUAAAGCUUCUCUCAGUUCGGAUUGUAGGCUGCAACUCGCCUACAUGAAGCCGGAAUCGCA